CGACCGGCGCACGGGUGAGUAACGCGUAUGCAACUUACCUAUCAGAGGGGGAUAGCCCGGCGAAAGUCGGAUUAAUACCCCAUGAAACAGGGGUCCCGCAUGGGGAUAUUUGCUAAAGAUUCAUCGCUGAUAGAUAGGCAUGCGUUCCAUUAGGCAGUUGGCGGGGUAACGGCCCACCAAACCGACGAUGGAUAGGGGUUCUGAGAGGAAGGUCCCCCACAUUGGUACUGAGACACGGACCAA
Molecule: ribosomal RNA, 243 nt
Filed under: uncultured bacterium
Lineage: Bacteria
Description: partial 16S ribosomal RNA
Rfam family: Bacterial small subunit ribosomal RNA
Source: RNAcentral